RNAcentral lists this ribosomal RNA (478 nucleotides) under uncultured bacterium. RNAcentral describes it as "partial 16S ribosomal RNA". It matches the Rfam family "Bacterial small subunit ribosomal RNA", at positions 28 to 507 of the family's 1533-position model. The record is from RNAcentral.
GAUGAACGCUGGCGGCGUGCUUAACACAUGCAAGUCGAACGGGAAACCUUUUAUUGAAGCUUCGGCAGAUUUAGCUGGUUUCUAGUGGCGGACGGGUGAGUAACGCGUGGGUAACCUGCCUUAUACAGGGGGAUAACAACCAGAAAUGGUUGCUAAUACCGCAUAAGCGCACAGGACCGCAUGGUCCGGUGUGAAAAACUCCGGUGGUAUAAGAUGGACCCGCGUUGGAUUAGCUAGUUGGCAGGGUAACGGCCUACCAAGGCGACGAUCCAUAGCCGGCCUGAGAGGGUGAACGGACACAUUGGGACUGAGACACGGCCCAGACUCCUACGGGAGGCAGCAGUGGGGAAUAGUGCAAAAUGGGGGAAACGCUGAUGCAGCGACGACGCGUGAAGGAAGAAGUAUCUCGGUAUGUAAACUUCUAUCAGCAGGGAAGAUAGUGACGGUACCUGACUAAGAAGCCCCGGCUAACUACGUG